GCCCAGGUGGCGGAAUUGGUAGACGCGCUGGUCUCAAACACCAGUGGAUUCAACCCCGUAUCGGUUCGACUCCGAUCCUGGGCA
This 84-nucleotide transfer RNA is filed under the name Bacteroidia bacterium. Its description in RNAcentral is "tRNA-Leu". It matches the Rfam family "tRNA". From Rfam's summary of the family: Transfer RNA (tRNA) molecules are approximately 80 nucleotides in length. Their secondary structure includes four short double-helical elements and three loops (D, anti-codon, and T loops). Lineage: Bacteria; Pseudomonadati; Bacteroidota; Bacteroidia. The record is from RNAcentral.